Molecule: non-coding RNA, 99 nt
Filed under: uncultured Ruminococcus sp.
Lineage: Bacteria; Bacillati; Bacillota; Clostridia; Eubacteriales; Oscillospiraceae
Description: Glycine riboswitch
Rfam family: Glycine riboswitch aptamer
About the family: This family represents the bacterial glycine riboswitch.
Source: RNAcentral
ACGACACUCCGGAGAAUCCCGACGACUCAUUCGAUCGGGUGCCGAAGGUGCAACCGCGCGACAAAGCGCGUCAAUCUCUCAGGCAAAAGGACGGAGCAA